This 253-nucleotide ribosomal RNA is filed under the name uncultured bacterium. Its description in RNAcentral is "partial 16S ribosomal RNA". It matches the Rfam family "Bacterial small subunit ribosomal RNA", at positions 524 to 776 of the family's 1533-position model. The record is from RNAcentral.
UACGGAGGGUGCGAGCGUUAUCCGGAAUCAUUGGGCGUAAAGGGCGCGUAGGUGGCCCGGUCAGCGUGCGGUGAAAGCUCGGGGCUCAACCCCGAGUCGGCCGUGCGAACUGCUGGGCUGGAGCACUGUAGAGGCAGGCGGAAUUCCGGGUGUAGCGGUGGAAUGCGUAGAGAUCCGGAAGAACACCGGUGGCGAAGGCGGCCUGCUGGGCAGUGGCUGACACUGAGGCGCGACAGCGUGGGGAGCAAACAGG